GCAGAACGCGAAGAACCUUACCAGGUCUUGACAUCCUCUUGACCUCCCUAGAGAUAGGGAUUUCCCUUCGGGGACGAGGAGUGACAGGUGGUGCAUGGUUGUCGUCAGCUCGUGUCGUGAGAUGUUGGGUUAAGUCCCGCAACGAGCGCAACCCUUGACCUUAGUUGCCAGCAUUUGGUUGGGCACUCUAAGGUGACUGCCGGUGACAAACCGGAGGAAGGUGGGGAUGACGUCAAAUCAUCAUGCCCCUUAUGACCUGGGCUACACACGUGCUACAAUGGAUGGUACAAAGGGCUGCAAGACCGCGAGGUUUAGCCAAUCCCAUAAAACCAUUCUCAGUUCGGAUUGUAGGCUGCAACUCGCCUACAUGAAGCCGGAAUCGCUAGUAAUCGCGGAUCAGCAUGCCGCGGUGAAUACGUUCCCGGGUCUUGUACACACCG
RNAcentral lists this ribosomal RNA (440 nucleotides) under uncultured bacterium. RNAcentral describes it as "bacterial SSU rRNA". It matches the Rfam family "Bacterial small subunit ribosomal RNA", at positions 954 to 1392 of the family's 1533-position model. The record is from RNAcentral.